AGCAUGUUAGCUCAGGGGAAGAGCGCCGGGCUCAUAACCCGGAGGUACGUUUCACCGCAAUCAAUUUCACCAAAAAAACAUCAAACUAACUCGCAACAGGACCCUGGAUCGAAACCAGGACAUGCUA
RNAcentral lists this transfer RNA (127 nucleotides) under Penicillium polonicum. It matches the Rfam family "tRNA". From Rfam's summary of the family: Transfer RNA (tRNA) molecules are approximately 80 nucleotides in length. Their secondary structure includes four short double-helical elements and three loops (D, anti-codon, and T loops). Lineage: Eukaryota; Fungi; Ascomycota; Eurotiomycetes; Eurotiales; Aspergillaceae. The record is from Rfam by way of RNAcentral.